GACGUAGGGCGCGAGCGUUGUCCGGAUUUAUUGGGCGUAAAGAGCUCGUAGGCGGCUCGUUGCGUCGGCUGUGAAAACCCGCAGCUCAACUGUGGGCUUGCAGCCGAUACGGGCGGGCUGGGAUUCGGUAGGGGAGACUGGAAUUCCUGGUGUAGCGGUGAAAUGCGCAGAUAUCAGGAGGAACACCGGUGGCGAAGGCGGGUCUCUGGGACGGUACUGACGCUGAGACGCGAAAGCGUGGGGAGCGAACAGG
Molecule: ribosomal RNA, 253 nt
Filed under: uncultured bacterium
Lineage: Bacteria
Description: partial 16S ribosomal RNA
Rfam family: Bacterial small subunit ribosomal RNA
Source: RNAcentral